Long non-coding RNA from Nematostella vectensis (starlet sea anemone), 405 nucleotides. RefSeq lists it as uncharacterized. Lineage: Eukaryota; Metazoa; Cnidaria; Anthozoa; Actiniaria; Edwardsiidae. The transcript is spliced from 2 exons. The record is from RefSeq and is a predicted model, not a curated record.
CAGUCAGUCAUACCGCCCCCUGUCACGCAAGGCGAGCUCAGCAGUCACAUGCGGAACCAAACAAAACAGAAGCAAACAGCGUUGACUUUGAUCGCGAAGAAUUCUGAAUCUCAGAUAAGGCUCAAUAUUUUCUAGUCUUCCUAGACUCGAUUAUUUAGCUCAGUUGAAAUUGGACUCAGGCGCAUUACGAGACACAGAUCCCCCAGAGGUGUUCAACUUCUUAAACAAGAUAUGUGAGCGUGCCCUUCUCAUGAGACGCAACCCCCGUGAGGUGACCUGGACUGUUCUGUAUCGCCGCAAGCACAAGAAAGGCACCCAGGAGGAAGUGUCCAAGAAGCGCACCCGCCGUAAUAUCAAGUUCCAGAGGUCUGUACAGGGUGCGUCUCUUGACAACAUCCUCGCCAA